Molecule: ribosomal RNA, 274 nt
Filed under: uncultured bacterium
Lineage: Bacteria
Description: partial 16S ribosomal RNA
Rfam family: Bacterial small subunit ribosomal RNA
Source: RNAcentral
UACGAAGGGUGCAAGCGUUAAUCGGAAUUACUGGGCGUAAAGCGCGCGUAGGUGGUUCGUUAAGUUGGAUGUGAAAGCCCCGGGCUCAACCUGGGAACUGCAUCCAAAACUGGCGAGCUAGAGUAUGGCAGAGGGUGGUGGAAUUUCCUGUGUAGCGGUGAAAUGCGUAGAUAUAGGAAGGAACACCAGUGGCGAAGGCGACCACCUGGGCUAAUACUGACACUGAGGUGCGAAAGCGUGGGGAGCAAACAGGAUUAGAUACCCCCGUAGUCCC